CUCUAUGGCCAUACCACCCUUAAUGUGCCUGGUCUCAUGUGAUCUUAGAAGCUAAGCAGGGUCAGACCUUGUGAGUACUUGGAUGGAAUAAAGAAACAAAUAGUGUGCUCACAGAGG
This is a ribosomal RNA of Fukomys damarensis (Damara mole-rat), 117 nucleotides long. Lineage: Eukaryota; Metazoa; Chordata; Mammalia; Rodentia; Bathyergidae. The record is from Ensembl.